This 164-nucleotide non-coding RNA is filed under the name unclassified sequences. The record is from Rfam.
UGAAAGUUGAUUGUGCUGUUUCUUAUACUUUCCUUCUUCAUACAGAUAUGCGGGUACAAGGAUGUACCCGCAAGUGAGGCCGCGCCAAGGACGGCGCGUCCGAACGGUAUCGUCCGUAUUCAAUAUCUAUAUGGAAAGUAUUAGAAACAACCAAUCAGCUUUCU